Molecule: non-coding RNA, 708 nt
Organism: Hydra vulgaris (swiftwater hydra)
Lineage: Eukaryota; Metazoa; Cnidaria; Hydrozoa; Anthoathecata; Hydridae
Source: RefSeq, a predicted model, not a curated record
GUACUAUUGAUUUUAAAUGUUCUAUUGAUCAGGCAUUUGAUAAAAUUGACUCUGUACGAAAGCGGAGUGAAACUAUAAAAGUUGGUGUGUACGCCAGAGUAGAUUUUUUUAUGAAAAACUGUAGUAGUUACUGUAGAGUUUAUUUUGUGUAAAGUUACGUCCAAGAAGGAUAUUUUCAAAUUCACUUCUUGUUCCAUUGUGAAAGAGAUAGAAUUGUGUCUACUAUUUAUAUAAUUAAGAAAAAUACGUGCUUCAUUUUUCUGACUUAAAAGCAGCAAAAAUAUCAUCAACAUAUUGUUAUAGAUAUAUAGGCGAAACUACUCGCCAUCUCAAGACACGAAUAACUUAACAUUAUAAGAGAGACAAAAAAUCACAUAUCUAUAAACAUCUCCAUAGUAAUUAAAAUUGUUUUAUGCAAUUAAAUGAAAAGUGUUUUUCCGUUUUAGAUUCAGCAUCUAAUAAGUUCUAAUUAAAACUUAAAGAAAGCAUGCUCAUAGAAUGGUUAAAACCUGGUUUGAACAAACAAGUCAACCAUGUCCAAAUGACACUUUCUGUUUAGUUAUUAUUUUCUAUGUAUCCGGGAGAUGGCGAGUAGUUUCGCUAAUAUAACAGAUGAUACAUCCUGUAUAUACGAAUUGACACACCACAAACAAUUUGAAUUCUAAAGGAAUAGAAUUUAGAAGAAAAGAAUUUAGAAAUUUUUGUGAG